CGCAAUGGGCGAAAGCCUGACGGAGCAACGCCGCGUGCAGGAGGAAAGCCUUCGGGUUGUAAACUGCUUUUAUUUGUGAUGAUUUUGACAGUAACAAAUGAAUAAGGACCUGCUAACUACGUGCCAGCAGCCGCGGUCAAACGUAGGGUCCAAGCGUUAUCCGGAAUUACUGGGCGUAAAGAGUUGCGUAGGUGGCAUGGCAAGCGAGCAGUGAAAUGGUUCGGCUCAACCGGGCAUACAUUGCUUGAACUGCCAAGCUUGAGCAUAGUAGAGGUACCUGGAAUUCCUAGUGUAGGAGUGAAAUCCGUAGAUAUUAGGAGGAACACCGAUGGCGUAAGCAGGGUACUGGGCUAUUGCUGACACUAAGGCACGAAAGCGU
This 379-nucleotide ribosomal RNA is filed under the name uncultured organism. RNAcentral's name for it is "bacterial SSU rRNA". It matches the Rfam family "Bacterial small subunit ribosomal RNA", at positions 367 to 762 of the family's 1533-position model. The record is from RNAcentral.